UGGUUUGUGUACGUGAGUGAAGCCAACAAUUAUUUUUAGGGUUCGUCGUCUCAAUGGACGGAUCAGGUCUAACAUCAAUCGUGGCUCUGCAACUCUCAUAGAUUCGCGUCGGUGUGUAUAUGUCGAUUCGAGUCAUUUUGAUCUUGAUUAAUCUCCUCUCAGGCGUUACAAGCUGCAUUCAUUCGUCGUCAUCAAUGAAAUAUUUUUACACACUAAAACCACAAUUAUGAAUUCAAUUGUUCUUAUCUCUCUUCCAAGUGGUGGAUCUACAUCUAUAAAAAAGGUUGCUGGGUGUGGACAUACUCUUCCUCGACUCUCAGGUUUUCCUUAGUACGUGUGUUUCAGCCAUCGCGAAAGCAAUGAAUCACUCACUCGCUCACCAACCAACAACACAAACACAAAAGCGGUGACGUGAUUCAUCUGGCCUUGCAACGAUACCGUAAGUGGUACCAAAACUGAAACGUCUUCGGGUGAUGGGCCUACAAGAAGUAGUGGCUCAUCAAGGGAAGAAGAGGAAGAUGCAAAUCAUUCGGAUGAGGUCUGAGUAAGUAGACUAUUUCAGCAUAAAUAUCUGAUGACUGAAGGAAUAAUUAACGUACCAGUUUAUAAGAUUACAUUCUAAGAUAUAUUUGAAAACUGAGGGAUGGUCGUGUCUGUAGUUUCCUUGAGUAACUACAACCAUGGUACCCAUGGAGUUCUGAUUCUAAUUCCAGCUCAUGUGAACUUAGCGGAGGAGAAGCUGAUGCUCUGCGACAGUGACACAUGGCAGGAGAGUUAAGGAGGGGGUUGUUCAACUCGCUCCUUUGAGAUGGAUCGGUGAUCGAGGCAGUCGCACCAGAGACAUUUGAGGUUAUGUCUGUCAUCCACAUCCUCUUCCCAACUCAUAUCUUAAAUCCAUAACCGCUCUUUGACAUGGAACACUGUUGCUCAAUGGCCACAAAAAGAUUCCGAGAGAGCAGAGGAACAUAUGGGAUCUGAGGGGUCAAGAGCUGCAGAUAUGCCAGCGAUAGCCACAUAGUACAGCCGUGUGACGAAAUGGCCAAGCUACAGGGCGUCUGCAGAUUUAUUUGAAGAAAAAGAGGAACAGACAGAUGAGAAGAGUGGACAGCAGAAGUGUCUGAGACUCUUACGAUCCCAUUAACACACUAAAAAACUAAAUGCAUAUAAAGUAUGUGUCUUGCUUUCUUUUUCUUCUCUUUACUCUGUGGGUUUUUUGCUAUUCUUGCGAUUAGGGUUUUAGGUCUACUGUUAGUGUUAAUUGAGGGGUUUUUUUUUCCGAUUCCCAGUAUUGCUGGACUGAUGGAAACACUCAGUGAGCAAGACAUCAAUAAUAUAGUCAUCAGCAGUUCAAAUUUAUGUUUGUUACUUUGAUUGACUUUCCAUUCAAUGAUCCUGUAAACUUAGGUUUUUAGCUAAGGUCUCAUUUUCCUUACCUGACUUAUAAUGUAUUAAAUAAACACUUGACAAAAUAAAAAUAUAAACACACGUAAAACCCGCAUGGGUUAACAAUCA
Molecule: long non-coding RNA, 1512 nt
Organism: Brassica oleracea var. oleracea
Lineage: Eukaryota; Viridiplantae; Streptophyta; Magnoliopsida; Brassicales; Brassicaceae
Exons: 5
Source: RefSeq, a predicted model, not a curated record